ACUGAGACACGGCCCAAACUCCUACGGGAGGCAGCAGUAGGGAAUCUUCCACAAUGGACGCAAGUCUGAUGGAGCAACGCCGCGUGAGUGAAGAAGGCUUUCGGGUCGUAAAACUCUGUUGUUGGAGAAGAAUGGUCGGCAGAGUAACUGUUGUCGGCGUGACGGUAUCCAACCAGAAAGCCACGGCUAACUACGUGCCAGCAGCCGCGGUAAUACGUAGGUGGCAAGCGUUAUCCGGAUUUAUUGGGCGUAAAGCGAGCGCAGGCGGUUUUUUAAGUCUGAUGUGAAAGCCCUCGGCUUAACCGAGGAAGCGCAUCGGAAACUGGGAAACUUGAGUGCAGAAGAGGACAGUGGAACUCCAUGUGUAGCGGUGAAAUGCGUAGAUAUAUGGAAGAACACCAGUGGCGAAGGCGGCUGUCUGGUCUGUAACUGACGCUGAGGCUCGAAAGCAUGGGUAGCGAACAGGAUUAGAUACCCUGGUAGUCCAUGCCGUAAACGAUGAAUGCUAGGUGUUGGAGGGUUUCCGCCCUUCAGUGCCGCAGCUAACGCAUUAAGCAUUCCGCCUGGGGAGUACGACCGCAAGGUUGAAACUCAAAGGAAUUGACGGGGGCCCGCACAAGCGGUGGAGCAUGUGGUUUAAUUCGAAGCAACGCGAAGAACCUUACCAGGUCUUGA
RNAcentral lists this ribosomal RNA (675 nucleotides) under Lacticaseibacillus paracasei. RNAcentral describes it as "bacterial SSU rRNA". It matches the Rfam family "Bacterial small subunit ribosomal RNA", at positions 318 to 984 of the family's 1533-position model. The record is from RNAcentral. Lineage: Bacteria; Bacillati; Bacillota; Bacilli; Lactobacillales; Lactobacillaceae.